UCAAAACAGCGGCCUUCGGGCCUCGCUGCACCCUUGUCUUUUGCGCACCGUAUUGUUUCCUCGGCGGGCUUGCCUGCCGGUUGGACAUCAUAAAACCUCUUUGUAGUUGCAAUCAGCGUCAGAAAAACAAUAAUUAUA
Molecule: unclassified non-coding RNA, 138 nt
Filed under: soil metagenome
Description: partial internal transcribed spacer 1
Source: RNAcentral